UCCUUGGUGGUCAGGAGGUAUAGAAUCUGCUUGAAAUGCAGGAGACCCAGGUUCGAUCCCUGACUGGGGAA
This 71-nucleotide transfer RNA is filed under the name Bos taurus (domestic cattle). It matches the Rfam family "tRNA". From Rfam's summary of the family: Transfer RNA (tRNA) molecules are approximately 80 nucleotides in length. RNAcentral also lists the same sequence under 1 other name. The record is from Rfam by way of RNAcentral. Lineage: Eukaryota; Metazoa; Chordata; Mammalia; Artiodactyla; Bovidae.